This 273-nucleotide ribosomal RNA is filed under the name uncultured bacterium. RNAcentral's name for it is "partial 16S ribosomal RNA". It matches the Rfam family "Bacterial small subunit ribosomal RNA", at positions 85 to 354 of the family's 1533-position model. The record is from RNAcentral.
CCGCCGGCGACCGGCGCACGGGUGAGUAACACGUAUGCAACCUGGCCGUGACAGAUGGAUAACCGGGAGAAAUCCCGCCUAAUACAACAUAAUGCCGGGAGGGGACAUCCCCUGCCGGCCAAAGGGGGCGACCCCGGUCACGGAUGGGCAUGCGGCGCAUUAGGUAGUUGGUGGGGCAACGGCCCACCAAGCCGACGAUGCGUAGGGGUUCUGAGAGGAAGGUCCCCCACAUUGGAACUGAGACACGGCCCAGACUCCUACGGAAGGCAGCAG